GACAAAGAUAACCAAACCCCUCUGGCCUCAUUAAGCCUCAAUCCUCACAAAGGGUCCUGCUCACCACUGGAGACUAAUUUGGGAUGCUCUUUUUCUAUUAGGAUUCACCAGUGACACAGAGCAAGGCAUUCAGUCACCUUCACCCUUGGGGUCUCAGUUUCCCCUGUUAAAAGAGUUGAAAGAGCUUUAGAUACCACAGCUUUAAACCACAGAGCUCUGAAAAACAAAAACAGGAUGUCUGCCUCUGAAGCUGCUGCUCUGUGUAUUUUUCCUGAGACUGUGCUAUCUGGGACCAGGAUGAAGAUUUGUUGGCCCUAA
RNAcentral lists this long non-coding RNA (318 nucleotides) under Cyanistes caeruleus (blue tit). RNAcentral's name for it is "lncRNA (ENSCCEG00000019168.1)". Lineage: Eukaryota; Metazoa; Chordata; Aves; Passeriformes; Paridae. The record is from RNAcentral.